RNAcentral lists this ribosomal RNA (432 nucleotides) under uncultured bacterium. RNAcentral's name for it is "partial 16S ribosomal RNA". It matches the Rfam family "Bacterial small subunit ribosomal RNA", at positions 29 to 507 of the family's 1533-position model. The record is from RNAcentral.
GCGAACGCUGGCGGCAGGCCUAACACAUGCAAGUCGAACGAACUCUUCAGAGUUAGUGGCGGACGGGUGAGUAACACGUGGGAACGUGCCUUUUGGUUCGGAAUAACUCAGGGAAACUUGUGCUAAUACCGAAUGUGCCCUUCGGGGGAAAGAUUUAUCGCCAUUAGAGCGGCCCGCGUCUGAUUAGCUAGUUGGUGAGGUAACGGCUCACCAAGGCGACGAUCAGUAGCUGGUCUGAGAGGAUGACCAGCCACACUGGGACUGAGACACGGCCCAGACUCCUACGGGAGGCAGCAGUGGGGAAUCUUGCGCAAUGGGCGAAAGCCUGACGCAGCCAUGCCGCGUGAAUGAUGAAGGUCUUAGGAUUGUAAAAUUCUUUCACCGGGGACGAUAAUGACGGUACCCGGAGAAGAAGCCCCGGCUAACUUCGUG